AGUGAACGCUGGCGGUAGGCCUAACACAUGCAAGUCGAACGGCAGCACAGGAGAGCUUGCUCUCUGGGUGGCGAGUGGCGGACGGGUGAGGAAUACAUCGGAAUCUACUCUGUCGUGGGGGAUAACGUAGGGAAACUUACGCUAAUACCGCAUACGACCUACGGGUGAAAGCAGGGGACCUUCGGGCCCUGCGCGAUUGAAUGAGCCGGUGUCGGAUUAGCUAGUUGGCGGGGUAAAGGCCCACCAAGGCGACGAUCCGUAGCUGGUCUGAGAGGAUGAUCAGCCACACUGGAACUGAGACACGGUCCAGACUCCUACGGGAGGCAGCAGUGGGGAAUAUUGGACAAUGGGCGCAAGCCUGAUCCAGCCAUACCGCGUGGGUGAAGAAGGCCUUCGGGUUGUAAAGCCCUUUUGUUGGGAAAGAAAUCCAGCUGGCUAAUACCCGGUUGGGAUGACGGUACCCAAAGAAUAAGCACCGGCUAACUUCGUGCCAGCCGCCGCGGUAA
RNAcentral lists this ribosomal RNA (506 nucleotides) under uncultured bacterium. RNAcentral's name for it is "partial 16S ribosomal RNA". It matches the Rfam family "Bacterial small subunit ribosomal RNA", at positions 29 to 523 of the family's 1533-position model. The record is from RNAcentral.